Molecule: long non-coding RNA, 1383 nt
Filed under: Heterocephalus glaber (naked mole-rat)
Lineage: Eukaryota; Metazoa; Chordata; Mammalia; Rodentia; Bathyergidae
Description: lncRNA (ENSHGLG00000040266.1)
Source: RNAcentral
GGUACAGUCAGACUAUUUCCUUGCUGGGUCACUCAGGGUCAUGACAACAGAGAUGUCACACUCAGAUGAUUUGGGCAAGGAGAUGUUCAGAAGUAGAACAAUCACUGAGGUGAGGAGAGUUCAGUGAUCAAAGUCUACUGAAGUGUCAGACUGGUUCCAAGGGAAGCUGUUACUGUCCAUAGUCUGGAAAGAGCAGGAGUACAGAAUAUGAUGUUGCUGUAACUGAGAGAUAGCUUGGAACCAGAAAGGUGUGGCUGCUGUGAUCAUAGCAAUGGCCAUUAGACACAAACAGCAGAAUAGCAAAGCAAUUGUAGGGCCAGAAAUGCCCAGUCAUGUCCUCUUUUACUUCUCAUUUUCCUGGUGGACACUCUCAUUAACCAAAAUGAAAAUGAAAGACAAAGAAUAAGGAAGCCUCAGUGAUGCAACCCAUAAAAGGCAAUGUCUUAUUCUGUAUUCUGUGGCUAUAAUAAAAUACCUGAGUCUGGCUGCUUUAUAAAAAAAAGUUUACUUGGCUCACAGUUCUGGAGGUUUAAAUUCCAUGACUGGGUAACUAUUUGUUCAGCUUUCAUAACUCAUGGCAUCACAAUGGUGGGAGCCUGUGAAGAGGUGAUCAGAUGGUGGGGAGUGGCUAGCCUUGCUCUUUUUAUAAUAACUCGCUCUGGUGAGAACUUGUUCCAUGAGAAAAGCAUUAAUCCUUUCCAAGAGCAACACUCCCAAAUGACCUAAUUACCACUCACCAGGCCACACCUUUUAAAAGUUGCAUUACCCCUACCUGAACACUGUCACAGUGGGAACAAGCUUCUAGAAUGUGAACUUUCAGGAGACCAGCCACAUCUGUACAAUAGAAGAUAGAGUAGACUUAGUAGAUAGCACAGUGGAGAACAGCAGAUUAUGGAGCUGGUGAGUGGCAGUGGAAGCUGACAAUUUCAAUUUGUUCCAAAGCACCCCAUCCUCCUCCUGACAUCUAUUUUUAUCUACUCUGAAUCAUCUCCCUUGAGCAUCACCUGGAGUCUAAAAGGCUCCUUGGAAAUGAAAGGCACAAAAAUGAAUCUUCUUACCUAUCCCUGUGGUGACCUAAGGGUUCUGAGAUUGCUUUUUUCUGACAGAUUUUUGUAAGCAUGAUAAACACAUAUAUGGAGAAGAAGUAGAAAACUUUGAGAGCCAUUGGUGGACCAAUUGGUUUCCAGACAAAUUGUUCAUUGAAAUGACCUAACAGGUCCAUGACUGCAUUUCUUGGCAAGAUAAUAACAAAGCAGAAAGAAGAUUCAUUUUAAUAUAGCCACAAUAAAAGUAAGUACAUGUUAAUCAUUUCAGCAUUUCUUAGCAAGUUAGUGUUUGGGUAGUGAGACAAGAUCCAUGUUUAAUGACUGUCUUUAGUUCCAG